This 247-nucleotide ribosomal RNA is filed under the name uncultured Bacillus sp. RNAcentral describes it as "partial 16S ribosomal RNA". It matches the Rfam family "Bacterial small subunit ribosomal RNA", at positions 796 to 1041 of the family's 1533-position model. Lineage: Bacteria; Bacillati; Bacillota; Bacilli; Caryophanales; Bacillaceae. The record is from RNAcentral.
CACGCCGUAAACGAUGAGUGCUAAGUGUUAGAGGGUUUCCGCCCUUUAGUGCUGCAGCAAACGCAUUAAGCACUCCGCCUGGGGAGUACGGUCGCAAGACUGAAACUCAAAGGAAUUGACGGGGGCCCGCACAAGCGGUGGAGCAUGUGGUUUAAUUCGAAGCAACGCGAAGAACCUUACCAGGUCUUGACAUCCUCUGACAACCCUAGAGAUAGGGCUUCCCCUUCGGGGGCAGAGUGACAGGUGG